Molecule: ribosomal RNA, 464 nt
Filed under: uncultured bacterium
Lineage: Bacteria
Description: partial 16S ribosomal RNA
Rfam family: Bacterial small subunit ribosomal RNA
Source: RNAcentral
GACGAACGCUGGCGGCGUGCUUAACACAUGCAAGUCGAACGGAAAGGCCCUGCUUGCAGGGUACUCGAGUGGCGAACGGGUGAGUAACACGUGGGUGAUCUGCCCUGCACUUCGGGAUAAGCCUGGGAAACUGGGUCUAAUACCGGAUAGGAGCCAUUUUUAGUGUGAUGGUUGGAAAGUUUUUUCGGUGUAGGAUGAGCUCGCGCCUAUCAGCUUGUUGGUGGGGUAAUGGCCUACCAAGGCGGCGACGGGUAGCCGGCCUGAGAGGGUGGACGGCCACAUUGGGACUGAGAUACGGCCCAGACUCCUACGGGAGGCAGCAGUGGGGAAUAUUGCACAAUGGGCGCAAGCCUGAUGCAGCGACGCCGCGUGGGGGAUGACGGCCUUCGGGUUGUAAACUCCUUUCGCUAGGGACGAAGCUUUUUGUGACGGUACCUAGAUAAGAAGCACCGGCUAACUACGUG